The sequence is a non-coding RNA, 225 nucleotides long. It matches the Rfam family "HNH endonuclease-associated RNA and ORF (HEARO) RNA". The record is from Rfam.
GUAAACUACCCGCCACCCUGCUGAGUACAGCUAUGGUGGGGGCUUUUAAAGAAGCCUAGAGUUUACCCGACUAAGUACCUCGUGUACUACGUUUUGGAAGUCAUCACACCUACAGAUACGAAGCCAGUCUGUAGCACUGUGGUUAACGAUUAAACAGGCAUAUCGGGUCGAAGCCAGUGUCGUUAACGCGACAAACUUCUAAAACAUUGUCAAGGCUAACAUUAC